AGGGAAUGAUGUUCUCCCUAGGACUUUGUCCUGAACUGCCGAAGGGCUGAUGGCGUCUGCGUUUUU
This is a regulatory RNA element of Eubacterium sp. CAG:274, 66 nucleotides long. It matches the Rfam family "Fluoride riboswitch aptamer (crcB RNA motif)", at positions 9 to 64 of the family's 64-position model. NCBI's taxonomy places the organism in Bacteria, Bacillati, Bacillota, Clostridia, Eubacteriales, Eubacteriaceae. The record is from Rfam.